UUCAUGUUCUAUUGUCAAUAUUUAUUUUGUACUAUUGCGAAGAUUAGCAUGGUCCCUGCGCAAGGAUGACACACAAAUCGAGAAAUGGUUCAAAUUUAA
This 99-nucleotide small nuclear RNA is filed under the name Amborella trichopoda. The record is from RNAcentral. Lineage: Eukaryota; Viridiplantae; Streptophyta; Magnoliopsida; Amborellales; Amborellaceae.